Molecule: ribosomal RNA, 392 nt
Filed under: uncultured bacterium
Lineage: Bacteria
Description: partial 16S ribosomal RNA
Rfam family: Bacterial small subunit ribosomal RNA
Source: RNAcentral
AUACAUAGGGGGCAAGCGUUAUCCGGAAUUAUUGGGUUUAAAGGGUGCGCAGGCGGCCAUUUAAGUCAGCGGUUAAAUCGUGGGGCUCAACCCCAUUCUGCCGUUGAUACUGGGUGGCUUGAUUGCGGUCGAGGUUGGCGGAAUCCGUUGUGUAGCGGUGAAAUGCAUAGAUAUGACGAAGAACCCCGCUUGCGUAGGCAGCUGACCAGACCGCAAAUGACGCUCAUGCACGAAAGUGCGGGGAUCGAACAGGAUUAGAUUCCCUGGUAGUCCGCACAGUAAACGAUGAAUACUUGUUUUCGGCGAUAUAAUGUCGGAGGCAAAGCGAAAGCGAUAAGUAUUCCACCUGGGGAGUACGCCGGCAACGGUGAAACUCAAAUGAAUUGGCGGGG